UAACACCAGCCCAACGUGUGUGUCUCAUCUGUUUGUUCUCACAGGCAGAGGUACCACGAGCUGUCUCGUUCUCGUCUCUCCCUUGAAAAAGAUGUCGGUAGACCACAGCCUGUGAUCCACCCAACGCCUCCCUGUCGCCCCUGGGAGUCUCUGCCUGGAAAAGGAGAGGAAUGGAAAGUGAGUGCAGGGACGGAUGGCAGGCAAGGGGCUCGAUGGGGAGGCUGUGGGGAGACUAGGGGGAAGUGGUGACAUGAGGCCUUUGCCAGUCCAUCAGCGGCCCUGCCAGCUCGCCUCACUGCCGGGAUGCUGAUGUCCUGAUUAAUGGGGUUUCCCUGUCCCGGUCUUAUCCCAGCACUGUCCUCACACAGCACGACACAGAGCCAGGACAACGAGGAUAAACAGAUUCAAGAUUUCUUUCCUGGUUGAUUGGAUAUUGUGGAAUCAAUGACACAAAGUACUGCGGCUGUUUCGGAGCUAAGGUAGGAGCGGCACAGGAUAAAUAUGGUGUUCCUAAUAAAUUGCUUGUGCCCUCUCUUACUCCCAUUGGAGCUUCUGUACAGAGAUAGAGCCCUGAACGAGACAGGCGUAUUGGACUGUGUUUUGUUGACCUUGACUUCUCGGAGGACUUCCUCUUCUGCUCCGGUCUUGGUUUCUCUGUCACUAGUCGUCACGGCAAAGGGGUCAAAAUAAGCUGCUUCCACAAACGACCUACAAAUAGUUGUUAAGCCUGAGUAUCGCUUUUCUCCAUCCUCUCUAUAAUUAUCUAUCUGGGAGGCAGUGGGGAGCCGGAGAGGUUGAAGGUAAGUGUAUUUACUGCAUCACGCUGACAAUAACAUUGGCUGAGCCAUUGAUUUUAUUUCCUUCUUUUUCCUUUAAGGGAUUUAAGAAAGUAAAAUAAAAGUUCGACGUAUAUAUUUGGGGGGGGGGGGUCUGUUAUUCAAUUGGUAUUUCCUGCAAAGAAAAUGCCAAAAAAAGAACAUUAAUGAUUGAUAUUGACUAUGUGAUUGCAGGAUCCAGGUAUUUGUAUUAGAGUUUGUGAACCUAAUUGUACAAGACCUCUUUGAGAAAACAAACCGCAGGUAUUUAUGUAUGUAUGUAUGUAUUUAUGAAUGUGGAAUCAGUAUUAUUAGAUUAUUAAAAGUGCCAAACCUCCUCUGUACCGGCCAGUUUAUUAGGUACACCUAGAUAAGGCUAAUAAAGUUUAAAGUCAGGUGUUAAUGUUAAGAUUUUUGUUUCUGAUCUGUUUUUUAGUGUUAUCUGUCCAUCCCAUAUGAAUGAGUAUUGAAUCAAUAUUACAGUACAGUAUAUAUAUAUAUAUAUAUAUAUAUAUAGUGUGUAUACAGUAUUGAACUUUUGACUUUAGGUGUACCAAAUGAAAUGCCAAGUCUUAAUAUAUGAAUAGACAGGUUAACAAAAACUAAUAUUGAUUAGAAAUUCUAUAAUGUUAUGUAAAUAUCUCAUAUAAUGAGGAAUUAUAUCAGAAUACAUAGUCAAAUGCUCAGCAGUGAAAAGUGACUUAUUUAAAUUUGUAGACUUAAUUUUACUUUCAGUUAUAGUCAGACUUUGAUUUAAAUCAUUGUCUAAAUAUGAGGAUGCGUCGCUCUGUGUAGUGAUCUCUCCCUUUAUCCAGCUGCUCUGCACUGUGCUUUCAUUAUCAUGAUUAUUGUCUCAUUUUCUCACAAAGGUUAAAUGAGAGGCGGGAGGUUACUGCAAGGCUGGUUUCACAGUAAGCUACUGUACAGUCCUCGACUGAAAUUGCACUUUCAAGUCUUCAGGAGGCAUAAGAAAUCUCUUUCACACCUCAAUGAUCGUUGUGGCAGGUGUGGAGGCAGAGCAGACGCGCGCGACCAAGGAGAAACACCCCCACACGGUGCACACUUGAUCAAUAAAGUACAUUUAACAAAAUGUUUCGAUCGUUCCAGUCAAAAGACGUUCAGAUCGUUGUGUGAAGUGUUAUUCAUUGAGCUAGUCUUGAGGAGCAAAGUAACCUUUUGAGUUGUGCACAAAAAUAGUUUGUCAUUUGAGGUAAUGUAAGUUGAUCGGGGGGAUCCAGUGUUGGAUCCAGAAUUUGUCAAGAGGUUAGGUAGUGUAGAUUGUGAAUUGUUUUUACAUUUCUUUUUGUCAAGAAGGACCCCCAUACCUCCCACCGAUUGGCUGUUUUGUUUUUUUACAUAACCAGGCAUUAAUAGUAGUGAUAAUAAAUGUAUCAGUUAAAUGAACUGUUUUAUUAUUAUUAGUCAUUAUGUAAUUCAUCCAUAGUGCAGUAAGUCAAUUCAGCAUUUCACAGCAGUGUCACAAAAACAGUAAUUUCAGGUUUAUAUUUAUUCAAUUAUUACAUUAGCCUUUUAUGAAUUAAGCCAUGCUCAGAUCAUGGACUGUUAAUGUGUAGCAUUGUGCGCAUUUACAGGAUAGCACGGGGCACAGCUAUCUAGUAACUUUUAGUAGUGGCAUAUAACGUUAAGAAAUGUAACUUGUAAAAGAUGAUAUUUAAGUGUGCCAGAAUUUCGAGGUCAUCCCCGCCAUGCUGUCAAGAAUCCAUUUAAAAGUCGCAUUGCAUUUGUACAAUGUCAACACUGAAAAGCAGCUGA
Scophthalmus maximus (turbot) is the source of this 2588-nucleotide long non-coding RNA. RefSeq lists it as uncharacterized. The record is from RefSeq and is a predicted model, not a curated record. The transcript is spliced from 5 exons. NCBI's taxonomy places the organism in Eukaryota, Metazoa, Chordata, Actinopteri, Pleuronectiformes, Scophthalmidae.